Oncorhynchus nerka (sockeye salmon) is the source of this 2220-nucleotide long non-coding RNA. RefSeq lists it as uncharacterized. Lineage: Eukaryota; Metazoa; Chordata; Actinopteri; Salmoniformes; Salmonidae. The record is from RefSeq and is a predicted model, not a curated record. The transcript is spliced from 2 exons.
GGUGUGAAGCAACACUGGGAUAGCUAAAAGCCACUCUAUUCUUGAUAGAGAAUCAUACUGUGCCAUUUGAAUGAUAACAAAACACACAACAGAUAUAGAGCUGACAGGGAAUAUUGAGCAGAGGAGAAAACAUUUAAGGAAAGAACUGAAUAAGGGGUUAUUUUUUCUAAAUUGCUGGAACACAACCAUUCCAUUGAACCCUGACACACUGACAGAAGUAUCAUAGGCCACUAAUCAGCAGUGUAAGAAAAGGUCAGAGCCCAAUCCAGCGGUGGAUCCUUCAUCUGCUCCUAGGAUGGAGCCACAGUCUGCAGCUACUACAGAUGCCAAGUGCAGCCAGAACUUUGGGGCCUCUCCAGCCACGCCUGCCAGCACCGUACUAGUUCCAGCCCAGAAGAUCCUUCUACCUUCAGACCCUGUGUACUCUACUGUGUGUUUCAAGGCCUGCAUGCUUUUACAGCUGUUGGUCAUUUACAGAAGAACAUUUCUCCCUGCAUGUGAACGGCGAUCUGAUGUCUCCUCAGCCGGACCAUGGUGAUGAAUCCUUUCUGACAGUCAGGACAGUGGUAAGGUCUCUCCCCUGUGUGUAUCAUCAUGUGCUGCGUCAGGUUGCAGCUCACACUAAACCCUUUACCACAGACAGUACACCGGUAGGGUUUCCCCCCUCUACUCAGGGGACCUGCCAGACAUCACCCCGGGUGACCCACCAGAAGGCACCCCUGAUGCUCCCUGUGACCUAGAUGUCAAUUUCCCUGCCCCCACCAUAGGGUAAGUGUCCCCUUCCUCCCGAAUAUGGGCAGAGUCAGAGUUUCCUUCCCCCAUGGUAGGGUCAGAGUUCCCUUCCUUCCUGGUAGGGUCAGAGUUUCAGUUUCCUGUGUACCUGAAAUGUGUAAAGUGUCCUGUCCCUCAAGUUGGUCCAGUGUAUCCUGCCCAAUGGUAGGUCUAGAGUUCCCCGCCUUCCUGGUAGGCCCAGUCUACCAUGGCCACCUUUCCAUUCAUACCCGACCCUCAGUCUCUGAAAAUAGUUGCAAGUUAAAACUUUUCUGACUUACAGUUGAAGUCGGAAGUUUACAUACACCUUAGCCAAAUACAUUUAAACUCAAUUUUUCACAAUUCCUGACAUUUAACCCCAGUAAAAAAUCCCUGUCUUUGGUCAGUUAGGAUCACCACUUUAUUUUAAGAAUGUGAAAUGUCAGAAUAAUAGUAGAGAGAAUGAUUUAUUUCAGCUUUUAUUUCUUUCAUCACAAUCCCAGUGGGUGAGAAGUUUACAUACACUCAAUUAGUAUUUGGUGUCAUUGCCUUUAAAUUGUUUAACUUGUGUCAAAUGUUUCGGGUAGCCUUCCACAAGCUUCCCACAAUAAGUUGGGUGAAUUUUGACGUCUUGAGACGUUGCUUCAAUAUAUCCACAUAAUUCACAUAAUAUCCACAUAGUCUCAGGAUGGUAAGUUGGUGGUUGAAAAUAUCCCUCUAGUGGUGUGGGGGCUGUGCUUUGGCAAAGUGGGUGGGGUUAUAUCCUGCCUGUUUGGCCCUGUCCGGGGGUAUCAUCGGAUGGGGCCACGGAUGGGACCCCUCCUGUCUCAGCCUCCAGUAUUUAUGCUGCAGUAGUUUGUGUCGGGGGGCUAGGGUCAGUCUUAUAUCUGGAGUAUUUCUCCUGUCUUAUCCGGUGUCCUGUGUGAAUUUAAGUAUGCUCUCUCUAAUUCUCUCUUUCUUUCUCUCUCUGAGGACCUAAGCCCUAGGACCAUGCCUCAGGACUACCUGGCAUGAUGACUCCUUGCUGUUCCCAGUCAGUCCACCUGGCCGUGCUGCUGCCCCAGUUUCAACUGUUCUGCCUGCGGCUAUGGAACACUGACCUGUUCACCGGACGUGCUACCUGUCCCAGAUCUGCUGUUUUCAACUCUCGAGAGACAGCAGGAGCACCCUCGACAACUACUGUGAUUAUUAUUAUUUGACCAUACUGGUCAUUUAUGAACAUUUGAACAUCUUGGCCAUGUUCUGUUAUAAUCUCCUCCCUGCACAGCCAGAAGAGGACUGGCCACACCUCAUAGCCUGGUUCCUCUCUAGGUUUCUUCCUAGGUUUUGACCUUUCUAGGGAGUUUUUCCUAGCCACCGUGCUUCUACACCUUCAUUGCUUGCUGUUUGGGGCUUUAGGCUGGGUUUCUGUACAACACUGAUAUAUCAGCUGAUGUAAGAAGGGCUAUAUAAAUAAAUUGUAUAUGAUAA